UUAAAUUGAAGAGUUUGAUCAUGGCUCAGAUUGAACGCUGGCGGCAGGCCUAACACAUGCAAGUCGAACGGUAACAGGAAACAGCUUGCUGUUUCGCUGACGAGUGGCGGACGGGUGAGUAAUGUCUGGGAAACUGCCUGAUGGAGGGGGAUAACUACUGGAAACGGUAGCUAAUACCGCAUAACGUCGCAAGACCAAAGAGGGGGACCUUAGGGCCUCUUGCCAUCGGAUGUGCCCAGAUGGGAUUAGCUAGUAGGUGGGGUAAAGGCUCACCUAGGCGACGAUCCCUAGCUGGUCUGAGAGGAUGACCAGCCACACUGGAACUGAGACACGGUCCAGACUCCUACGGGAGGCAGCAGUGGGGA
This 365-nucleotide ribosomal RNA is filed under the name Escherichia coli. RNAcentral's name for it is "bacterial SSU rRNA". It matches the Rfam family "Bacterial small subunit ribosomal RNA", at positions 1 to 360 of the family's 1533-position model. Lineage: Bacteria; Pseudomonadati; Pseudomonadota; Gammaproteobacteria; Enterobacterales; Enterobacteriaceae. The record is from RNAcentral.